CCUCCAAAGGGAAGCGCUUUCUGUU
Molecule: microRNA, 25 nt
Filed under: Homo sapiens (human)
Lineage: Eukaryota; Metazoa; Chordata; Mammalia; Primates; Hominidae
Description: hsa-miR-519d-5p
Gene: hsa-miR-519d-5p
Source: miRBase by way of RNAcentral